RNAcentral lists this ribosomal RNA (626 nucleotides) under uncultured Bacilli bacterium. RNAcentral describes it as "bacterial SSU rRNA". It matches the Rfam family "Bacterial small subunit ribosomal RNA", at positions 140 to 755 of the family's 1533-position model. Lineage: Bacteria; Bacillati; Bacillota; Bacilli. The record is from RNAcentral.
GGGAUAACUAUUGGAAACGAUAGCUAAUACCGCAUAAGAGUAGAUGUUGCAUGACAUUUGCUUAAAAGGUGCAAUUGCAUCACUACCAGAUGGACCUGCGUUGUAUUAGCUAGUUGGUGGGGUAACGGCUCACCAAGGCGACGAUACAUAGCCGACCUGAGAGGGUGAUCGGCCACACUGGGACUGAGACACGGCCCAGACUCCUACGGGAGGCAGCAGUAGGGAAUCUUCGGCAAUGGACGGAAGUCUGACCGAGCAACGCCGCGUGAGUGAAGAAGGUUUUCGGAUCGUAAAGCUCUGUUGUAAGAGAAGAACGAGUGUGAGAGUGGAAAGUUCACACUGUGACGGUAUCUUACCAGAAAGGGACGGCUAACUACGUGCCAGCAGCCGCGGUAAUACGUAGGUCCCGAGCGUUGUCCGGAUUUAUUGGGCGUAAAGCGAGCGCAGGCGGUUAGAUAAGUCUGAAGUUAAAGGCUGUGGCUUAACCAUAGUACGCUUUGGAAACUGUUUAACUUGAGUGCAAGAGGGGAGAGUGGAAUUCCAUGUGUAGCGGUGAAAUGCGUAGAUAUAUGGAGGACACCGGUGGCGAAAGCGGCUCUCUGGCUUGUAACUGACGCUGAGGCUCG